CAAAUUAUUACAUCACGUGACCGAAUGGUCAAGUUCACAAGGUAGAGCCUAUAAGGCCAAAUCACACUGAUACAACUAGUAGCGGAAAUUAUAGGGCUAAGCGGGUGCCCAUGCCAUCAGCCUACACCAACAGGCAUUCUAACUGGGAAGCGUGCUAGUUCACAGGGGCGUCUCUGAAGACGUACUCAUCUCCAAACUCCGGUCCUUCGAUGUCUGGUCAAUAAUAUAACAAGUGGCAAGCCAAUGAGUACUUUUGAAUGUACUCGCAAACAUCCCAUGACAUGAACAAUGCAAGUGAAGGAUAACAAUACCAUGCUUCUUUGGUGGAUAUCUCUUGGUGGUAAAUAAACAUGAGCACGGGUAUGCAUCAUAAGUUAAGAACUAAUUUUGAAGAACAGGUUACAUAUAUCAAUAUAUCUGUCAGAGGCUGAACCACCCGGGUUCACCCUAUAUACCAAGUCACCAAACUUGGUCAUAUCAAAUCUUUCAUAAUAACUCCUUUUUAUCACAACUCAUACACACUUGGUUUAUGCGGAAACAACUCGACGUAGUUUAAGCAGCACCACCCAACUGUCCUUGACUGUCGACACGACUAUUCGUAAAGUUUUACACUCUCCAGAGGUAGUAUGAUGUACCCACAAGAUCCGAGAAACUUCCGUGUCAUCCACGAAUCGCGGUAUCUAACAUACCCGAGGUAAGUACCCAAUCAAUGCCUUUCCCCUGACGAUACUAGCCAAAGAGGUCCACUAGAUUGGUACCCAGCCCACAUGUUGUACGUCUUACGAGCAUCGACUCUAGACAGUAUCAACCAUGCAGAGACCAACGGUGUGCCUAGAACACGUAUAAACGGCAUAGUCGCCCUACCUAGCACGACCCCAUCACGAGAGUGACCACACAUCACAACCGCCACUAGUAAUGUGGCUCUUUGCUAGCACCGAUUAGAGUAAUCAACACAGCUCCGUCCCAUAAGGGGUAACGUGGUCGUACAUCUAAGGUUGGGACAGUCGACACAUCAUAAAUCUAAUCCCAUUUCCGAAACCAUACUCACGCAAAUACCCGGUGCACCACUUCACCAAAAGUGGCCUCCUAACUCAUCAUCACCCUCGGGCAGUAUUGGCACCCGAUGGGAUUUUCAUAAUCUUUGAUUUAUACCAACAACAUGCUCAUGCUAAUAUUAUUCUACCUUUACUUGUGACCAUGAUAUUAGCAUGACCCUCAUAGGUGGUAGGAUCAAGCUCAAUGCAUGUGCUCCGGAGGAGCCAUCGGUAACCUUACAUCAGUGAUUUACCAGCACUUAUGAUCAUAUGCAACGAAAAUAUUUGCUACACUAACAUGCAUCAUAACAUAUGCUCACACAUGGUCAAAGGGCUGCUUGCCUUGGUCUGCUAGGUAUCCGGGGUCUUCGAGGUCUUCUGCUCCGAUUCCCUCGUCACACAGAUUUUCUAUCGCCGUCAAAAGAUAAAAUAAGAAAUAGCUCACUCCAAAAUAGAUCAUAAAGUAAUUUUAAAAAUGUUGGUUAUUUUUGAUAAUUCUAGGUUGUUAUUUUAAAAAUAUUUGCCUCUGAUUCCAAUGAAGAAAUAUUUUAAAAAUCAACUAAACAGAAGCAAAAUUAUUCCAAUUUAAUCUUGUUUAUUCUUAUAAAAUAGAAUAGCUGCUUCAAAAAUUCAACCAAUGGUUCUAUUAAAUACUACAUACUUUUAGAAGAAUAAAAGUGGAAAAUUUAUAUUUUUACACUCGUUAAAUCUUUUUAUAAAAAUCUUUGAAUAUCCAGUUUUUAAAAUAAAUAAAAAGGGCUACAACCCAUAGUCUGGCUUGGGCUGGGACUGGGCCGGCCCAAAGGCCAGCCACCUAGCCUUCCCACGCGUGCGCGCCAUCAGGUUUGAACCUGACGUGUGGGCCCGUGCGGUCAGCGGCUGCGGGUAGCGAGGUAGAGAGAGAUGGGCCACCGACUCGUGGGCGACACAUGUUGGGGUCGUCUCCUACAUCUAGCCAGAGAGGAGGAGGAGCACGCCGGCGUGGCUACCGACGUCCUCGGGCCCCAAAGAAGACAGAAAUGGCUCUGGCUUGUCGUCGCCUACCUGUUGAUGGUCGGAACAACGACGGAGAGGCUCAGGUUCACCGGCGACAAGGAGGCCAAGGCGUAGGAGUUUCGGGCAAAGGUCGCGGGGGUAGCUAGGGGCACGAAUUAGCUUGGGAAAGUUGGGGGAAAGCUCCCUGAGGUCAAGGGGAGUGGUUUGGUGGGCAGAGGGACGCGAGAGUCGUCGUGUAGCCGGAGAUCGACCGGAGCUCCGAGGCGGAGGGCCCUCGGUUGAUCUCGAGCAACGGGGCUCUACUGGCUUGCUAAGGUGGCUAGGGAGGUGCUAGAGGUUGUUGCGAUGCUGUCUGAGGGGUGCUGGAGUGAGAGGGGCUAUUUAUAGGCCCGCGACGGUGAGCCGACUCGGGAGUGCCGGUGACUCACCGUGGCGAGCAUGGGGGUGCAGAGAGGAGCUGGGGUCGAAAACACGGUCUCAGAACGUGGUUUUGGACUGCCAGAACCUACUGCGAGGAGUGCCUCUGAUGGUCGCCUGAUGCAGAGGGGUUGUCGGGGAAGAAGUUGGACACCUCGGGGUAGGCUGGAACUGGCGGAGGGCGUCGCCCCCACCUUGGAGUUCUCUAUAGUGCGCCUAGAGCGCAGUUUUGGCAUGCCACGGCAUGCUGGCUCACUCUGAGGUGCUUUGGACGUGUCCAGCAUGUCCUGGGCACUGGCUGGGUUGAGGCUAGCCGUUGAAGUCCCGUGGGAGCUUCGGCUGCUCAAGGGAGACAAGAGAAACAGGUGUUGUCAACUUUGAGGUGGAGCUUAAAAUGGAUAUUUUGGCAUUUCUACUUUGAACGAGAGAGGAUCCAGUUGACUGGGGUUGGGCAUUGAUACUGGCCACCUAAUCUGAGAGUUUGGGGCAAAGGGGCUGGGUUUAGCUAUGGUUAGAGGGGCUUUUACCCAUCUGUGAGAAGGUGCUCGAUAGUGGUUUGGGGUGGUUGCACCCCACCACUGGUUCUGCAACUUAACAUGAUUGGCUUUGGUGCUAAAACAUGGGGUUUCACCAAGUUUGACCUCCAUUGGACAAGUUUAGCUUUGUAAACUUGAAAACUUCACCAUUUGACCAGAUUUGUUCCUUCCAAAGAGAGUGUGGGCAAACUAAGUCCCACAAAUCCCAUUUUUGGUGUGGAACCCUCAUUUGAGGUAUUAGGCACUCGUGCAAAGUUUCAACGUCAUUGGACAAACUUUGCUAUGUAGAGUUGAUCUAUCUUUAAUGUGGACAGAAGGGGUUUUCUAGUUAUUUGGUUUCCUUAAUCACCUUGGAUCAAGGUGAAACUUUAUGUGGACACCAAUUAUGGCUUGGGGAUACCACUGGAAUUUUCUAGGAAUUUAUUGAGAAUAUUUCCUUUCGAAAUAUUUCAAAUGGUCAAAACAGACAGAAAUGGUUUUCAGGGUUUUACUCAAUUAAUAUUAAUAUAAAUAGGGGUUAAAAAUCUUAUGUAUGGAAAAUAUAUGUCCUUCUGAUCAUCUCUAAAUUUAAUCAUAUUUUUCUAAGGUGGAAAAGUAUUUUUCCAUAUAGGAAUACCAUUUGUGGUUUUGGUGCACUAAAAUAGUGCUAGAAUCAAACCACCAACUUUGGGUGACAACACUCCUUGCCAUCAAGGGCAUGUAGUGCAACUCAAAGUAGGGUUUUAUUUUAUCCAGAAAUGAGGAAAGGGUUUUGAAAUUAAUCUGAUCUUGAGAAAUAUGGUUUUUAUCAUCACAUGAUCAAGCACACAAGCAUACAAUGACAAUCAUGGCACUCACAACAUUAGUUUUGAAAAAGUUUUAAUAAGCUCAGAUUUUUGCAUUACAGAGAAAGAUGUUAGUGGAAACAGGGUGUCACAGCAUGAGACGCUCGAGAAAGGUAAAACAAGUCCAGCAAAGCCGCCCGACGUGUCGACGAUCCCGACAGGAGCCGCGUAUCUCGUUCUCAGGACACGACGGAUAAGCGAAGCGUACGGUGGCCUGAUAGACAUCUCCCGAGUUGCCCCGGGUUGGCUCGUCACGUUGCUCUGUUUUAGACCAGCACUAGCAACACAGCCCCCAUGUAUUAUGUUGAAUUAGUGGUUGGGUUCAUGACGCCCUAUGUUUUUCACUAUUAUUAUGCUGGGAAAAUAUAGUACAAAUGUUGGUCCUUGCCAGAUGAGUUUUAUCCCAAAACGAAAAUCUAGGGGGUCCCCAUAACGACCCCAAGCAUGUUAGGAGCGCUCAUUUAUGGAACAUAGCAUCGAUAGCCGAAACUAAGGCGACAAAAGUGGAACAAAACAUCAGGCUAGAAGGCUAAGCCUUCCACCUUUUACCAAGUAUACACGUGUAUUAAAUUAAUUGGCAAUAAUAUGAUGAUAUAACAAGGAACCCAUGUUGGCACAUGGAAGCAGAUGAACAAACGUAGUUGAAUGGAUCCUCACAUUCCGACACGCUUGCGGAUCUCUACCGAGACCAAGGAAAUCGGAAACAUGAAUCAACACACGAUAUUCACCACAACAAAAGCACCGUAUGAUGGACAACCUAAUAUGAUGCAUGUCCAUUUAAAUUAUGGAAGGCAUGACAUGGUAAUUCACAACUAUCAAAAACUACACAUUAAGUUAAGCUCAAUAUGCAACGAGUUGCAUAUUGACGAAACUCCAAAUUUGAAUUAUUUAGUUCGCUCCCGUUUAGGUACACGACAAUAUUAAAUGUUGUUUAAACAUGGCAAGAGGUGAAGCAUGUGAUUCUACACGUCAUUCUAGUCGGUUUACACCUUAGAACAUUUGAACGGAGCUACACUCUACCAGAUACGUGCAACACAAGAUACUAUGCCAUAGAUGCAAGAUGCAUGCAAAUGACAGCCACGACACGUUUCAGUUUCGAUAACUCAAUGAGAUACCGAUGCAAAUGAAUGACGGGGUGAUCCCGGUUACCAGGUUCCCAUGAGCCGGAGGCAUGAAUAUGGGGUAGAAGCAUCAUAGUGCAGUCCAAAUAAUCUCAACAACCCGAACGGACUUAGUCAAAAGAAACAAGGUUCAAAUUCAGAUGACACUGCUCACAACGGGGAAUGAAGAGGCCGGAGGUAAUGACUCUGCUAGAACGCAGGAGGGAGGUCGGCCCUCUGGGUCUGGUGGCUGGGGACGCGCACAAAGGCUGGCAGACGCGGGAGCCCAUGAGUCUUGCAUACGUGGUCGCUACGAGCGUGUUCGCUGCGUUGGCGCUCCUGCUCGAUGCAGAGAGCUACGUGCAGUGCGCCGAGGUGUAGGUGAGAGAAUGUUGUGGGCGAGCUAGUCCUUGGGCACGGGGAGGAUGCAGGGCCGAAUGGCGGUUGGAAAAGAAUUGACCUGAAGAAGCACUCCGGUUGGAAAAGAAUUGACAUGACGACUCUGGUUGACAAGAAUUGAAAACACAAUUUGAUUGAGCAAAAGAAUUUGCAUUUCCAUAAAAAUAUGAGAACACCUCUUGGGAAGUUAUGGAUUCACCACUUGACAUCGAAGCAACUCGAAUUACCAUACUCCAACAAAACAGAGGAUUAGGCUUGCAAAUUAGACGGAACAAACAUAUUAAACAUAUUCCGCUUGAUAUUUUCGUGGAUAGGAUCGCACGGGUUCGAUAGUACAUUGGAUUGUCAUAUUGAAAUGACGGUUGAAUAUGCUCCAUAGGCGUAGCGAACUUCAAGUCUUGUCGAAGCACACUGUGACAUAUAACGAGACUGUCCCGUGUGAAAAUGACCGUGAACAAACAAAUCCACUAGAUGUCGAACCCCAACCUCACAUCAUGCAUCUGUUGGAAGAUUGUCCUAUAAGUAACUACUUGAAUUCCCACCUAAGAACUCUCGAAAUUUUCUCGUCAUGCAAUUGAGUCCAUGGAUACAAGGAGUAAAAUCCAUCACUCAACUCCUAGCAAUAACACUAUCCGUCCAGUGUAUCACAUUCGUUAACACAUAACUAGAGAUCUCGAAAACUCAUCUAUCUCAGAUCCUCGAAAACACAAUGAUACUAAGUAUGGCAGUACAUCCGGACGCUCUCCACCAGUACUGGGAUGCCAAACUUCUCUCGCCACUACUAGUUUUGAAGCAAUUUCGAACAUCCUCCAUCCUGAGAUACUAAGAAAUCUGAAUGAUAACGAUGUGCUCAAGAAUUCCCUGAAGCUCAACUCACCGGAAGAAAUCAAGUCAGAUAGGAGGCACCAAGACAUAACUCCGUUACAUCGACAUCAUAUAGAUUCCAGAAUACCCGCGUGAUCCUGAUUUUUUUUGAGUGAGAAGAGGAGUAUUAUUAAAAUUAUUACGUCAAGAUUCCUCACCAAAGCAUAGAAGAAGAGUACAAAGAAUCCUACUCUCCGAUAUAUAACUAGACUCAAAACAAUUUUUCACUAGACUCAACUCGGCCAGGUUCGAUCAAUCAAGGGGGCUCCUAGGUCGAUCCUGCUGUGAUACCAACUUGCAACGCCCAAGGUGCGAUCCUAUCUUUAUUUUGGCAAUAGCGCCUCGACAAGGAUAGAAGCACAUCUCGUCAUUUUGCAAGAAUGGAUAUCGAUACAAGUACAUGUACUGAAGAGAUGAGUAUAUGGAAUUGGCUUACACUUGCCACAAGCUACAUCAAGUUCACAUCAAUAGAACAAUAUACAAUCAUCAUGACCAAGAGCAGGGUCCGACUAUGGACCAAAACGAACGACAAAAGAACGACGUCCAUCCUUGCUAUCCCAGGUUACCGGCCUGUAACCCAUCCUAGAUCGAUGAUGAAGAAGAAAAACUUCAAAUAACACAAUCAUCGCGCUCACAUCUUAAUAUCACUUUACCUGUACCUGCAACUGGUGUUGUAGUAAUCUGUGAGCCACAGGUAACUCAACAAUCUCAUUUCCAAAGGUAUCAAGACUAGCAAAGCUUAAUGGGUGAGGUAUGGUUAAGUGGUGAGGCUGCAGCAAGUGACUAAGCAUUUAUUUGAGGUGGAUAACUUAUGAGUACAAAAACAAAAGAGGGGGAUGAUCUACGCAUAGAGGAUGUGAACUACUGAUGAUCAAACGAAUGAUCCUGGACAACUACUUACGUCAAACAUAACCCCAUCAUGUCCUUGAUCGGAGAAGGAGCUCACGAAAGAGACAUUCGCGGUUAUGCACUCAGUUGUCAAGUUUUAAUUAAGUUUACUUGAAGUUAUCUAGAACCGAAUGUUAAACUAAGUUCCCAAGUUGCCACAUCAUCGCGGGAACAGCUUUACAAAAGAUUUAACCCUGCAGGGAUGCUCCAAAUAGGCCAUCACAAACUACCACACACUACGCCGGAAUGACCUUGAUUAGGAAAACCCGUGAUCUCCUCGGGUUCCUAUUAGGAAACCUCAUCCUCGAGAAGUAUCCUCGGAAUCCAUGCACGAGACGCUCGAGAAAGGUAAAAGAAGUCCAGCAAAGCCGCCCGACGUGUUGACGAUCCCGAUAGGAACCACGUAUCUCGUUCUCAGGACACGACGGAUGGCCGAAGCAUACGGUAGCCUGAUAGACAUCUCCCGAGUUGCCCCGGAUUGACCCCGCACGGUGCUCUGUUUUGGACUGGCACCAGCAGCACGGGCCCCUGUAUUAUGUUAAAUUACUCCUUGUGUUCAUGACGCCCUAUGUUGUUUAGUAUUAUUAUGUUGGACAAAUAGAGUACCAAUGUUGGGCCUUGCCAGACGAGUUUUAUCCCAAAACGAAAAUCUAGGGGGUUUCCAUAACAAGCCAAGCAUGUUAGGAGCGCUCAUUUAUGGAACAUAACACCGGUAGCCGAAACUAAGGCGAUAAAGGUGGAACAAAACGUCAGGCUAGAAGGCAAAGCCUUCCAACUUUACCAAGUAUAUAGGUGCAUUGGAUUAAUUGGCAAUAAUCUGGUGAUAUAACAAGAAACUCAUGUUGGUACAUGGAAGCAACUGCACCUGCAACGAGCAACGCUAUGAAAAGGUUGAGCAAGUGGUAACUUAGCCAAACAAGGUUUGCUGGUCAGUGGAGAGAUUAGAGGUUUUCAUGGCAAUGUUGGGAGGCUGGUAUUUAACAGGUGAUAAACAGCGAGACAUAGCAAAAUAAACAAGACAACUAGCAUGACAAUGAUAGUAAUGGUAUCUAGGGAAAUGAUCAUAUUUCUGUGAUCUAGCUUGGAAGAAGAAUGAAUCCGUGAAGCAAACGAACCAACGUAGUCGAACAAAUCCUCACAUUCCGACACGCUUGCCGAACUCUAUCGAGACGAAGCAAACCGGAAACAAGAAUUAACACACGAUAUUCACCACAAAAAAAACACGAUAUGACGAACCAAUUAAUAUGAUGCAUGUCCAUGUCAAUUUUGAAAGGCAUGAUAUGGUAAUUCACAGCAAUCAAAAACUACACAUUAAAUGAAGCUCAAUAUGCAACGAGUUGCAUAUUGACAAAACUCCACAUUUCAAUUAUUUAGUUCGCUCCCGUUUAGGUACACGGCAAUAUUAAAUGUUGUUUAAAAAUGUCAAGGGGUGAAGCAUAUGAUUCUACAUAGCAUUCUAGUCGGUUUACAUCUUAGAACAUUUGACUGGAGCUACGCUCUACCAGAUACGUGCAACACAAUAUACUAUGUCAUGGAUGCAAGACACAUGCAAAUGACAACCACGACACAUUCCAGUUCCGAUAACUCGAUCAGAUACCAAUACAAAUGAAUUGAGAGUGUGAGCGUGCCUAAAAAUGAUGGAUGAUCCCAGUUACCGAGUUCCAUGCGCCGAAGGCAUGAAUAUGGAUAUACAUGCAACUAACAUUUCAUCUAGGAAAUGUCGAACUCGAAACUCAUACAACAAUACAAAAUCUACAGAGCUGAAAUAAAAUAAAAUAUGCAGGGCCCGAAGCAUCAUAGUGCACCGGUCGAGAAGUAGAUUAGGCCCAAGGAACUGAGGGUGUGCAUUUAGACAAAACAUGACAAAGUAAAAUUGUCGAACUCGGCACCUCGAGCUUCAAAGUUGGCUGCUCUAGCCAACUGGGAUACCGAUAUGCUCGUGGUGAAAAGUGGUGGUUAAUCUAAAUAAGCUCAACAACCCGGACGGACCUAGUCAAAAGAAACAGAGAUCAAAUUCGGAUGAGACAACUUACAACUGGGAAUGAAGAGGCCGGCGGCCAUGACUAUGCUAGUAGGCCCGAGGGAGUCGGCCCUCCGGGUCUGGUGGCUGGGGACAAACAUAUAGGCUGCCGGACGGGGCAGUCUAGGAGUCCUGAAUGUGCGGACGCUACGAGCGCGUUCGCUACGCUGGGGCUCCUACUCGAUGCACAGAGCUGCACAGAAUGCUCUGAGAUGCAGGUGAGCGAAUGUUGCGGGCGAUCUGGGGCUUGGGCACGGGAAUGAUGCAGGGGCAAACGGAGGCGACCGAAGUCUACGCGGGAUCGAGGCCCACCUGGCCGAUGCGGUCAGCGCUCGACGAUCGAGCGUUGCUGCUGUCCGUUCAUGGUUGUGCCAUGGUUGGAAGGAGGCGGCACAUGUGGUGGCUUGGAGCGACGGCGAGGCAUGGAGCGACCGGGAAUGGGAGGAUCCGGGGACAGGGACACCGGAUCUGGGCGAGGUUCGACGGAUCCGGCUAGUUCCCAUGGUGGCGACGUCGGGGCUUCGAUGGGCACGGCUUGAAACAGAGAGAGAGAGAGAAAUUAGAGAGAGAGGUCGAGCAGAGGGAGAGAGAGAAGGCAUGGGGGCGGUGAUGUGACCUGGUUGCUGCUAACCGACGAGGCUGCACAAAGCGCUCGGGGACAUGUGCGAGCGCAAGACGAGGGACACGGUCGGGGCGCAGGAAAUUUAUACUCCUAGAUCACUACGUUCUCGACAGAAUGGGUGGCGGCAGCGCGUACGGGACAGAUCUCCCAG
Molecule: long non-coding RNA, 9851 nt
Filed under: Hordeum vulgare
Lineage: Eukaryota; Viridiplantae; Streptophyta; Magnoliopsida; Poales; Poaceae
Description: long non-coding RNA (HVUL_LNC015850)
Source: RNAcentral